Molecule: long non-coding RNA, 1159 nt
Organism: Pelodiscus sinensis (Chinese soft-shelled turtle)
Lineage: Eukaryota; Metazoa; Chordata; Testudines; Trionychidae
Source: RefSeq, a predicted model, not a curated record
CAGUACUCAAGAUGUGGGCGUACCAUAGUUUUAUACAGGGGCAGUAAGAUAUUCUGUGUCAUAUGUGUUUUGUCCCAAUUGUUCUACGACUUUAUAAUUAGAAGAAUGAUUAAACUACAAAGUAAACGUUUUUAAUUUAUCGGAAGGAAGGCUUUUAUUGACCCAAUCCAAGAUGGGUUGGGGGAUGGUUAGUUCAUGAACACGUGCAAGGCUUUGACUUUUCAUCUGGAUUCGGGAGGAGAGGCAUUUUUGAAAUCUCAACAGUGUUCACAGGACAGGAAAACACAACCCCUUCCCUGGCCAACCGGAGUGAAAAGUUCCAACGUUCCAGCCUAGCGAAAAGGCUUCUGUUAACGGCAAUGGGCAGCAGAACUGGAAUUCUAGCUCGGAGCACUCCGCUCUUAUGAUGCGGGAGAACUCGGAAUCCAUGCUGAACUCCACUAGGUGUGAAUGCCAUUCGUUGUCCUCUUUCCCAUAAGUAUUCUUCUCCUCUGAUGCAUUGAGAACAAUGUCCCCCCACAGCACUGUGAAGGGGCUCACCCUCCCACGGGCGCUCCUUUGUGGCCGAGGACGGGUCUGCAACUUCUCCGCUCUGAAUUGACUUUGGAAGUUGCUGGACCUGGAUUCCAGCCAGGUCUGAAGUCCAGCUCACACUCGGAGCUGCUGUCUUCCAAAUUCCCUGAGACUCCAGUUGACUGUCAAGCAUGAAAAUCUUUUCUCUUCUUUUUGCUGGUCUCUUCCUGCUUUCCCUGCCCAAGCCAGGAAAUGGCCAGUUUGUCGUGCUGGGGUGUUUAUUCCGAGGCGGUUCCUGUCGCCCUGACAAUUGCUACCUGGAUGAGGAAGAGAUCGGGAGCUGCCUGCGGAGCAACAGGAUAUGCUGCAAGAGAACGUCAUAAAGGACGCCGGGCACGUAGGGACAGAGUGAACCGGGCCAGAAACUCAGGAGAAAUCUGUGCGGGACACGUUUCCUUCAAUACACACCUCACGCGGCCUUCAUAAAAGGGACGUUCUGAACUUCCACAGCCGGGUGUGAAUGAUUUGGUCUCCUCCACACGGGCCCAUCUGCCCCGUUGUUCUCAUUUCAGGUGUUGCCACAUUCACAGUGGCUUUCAACAAGCCCUAGGCGUACUCCCCUCACGUUACCGUCCACAGAACCCCA